CCUACGGGAGGCAGCAGUGGGGAAUAUUGCACAAUGGGGGAAACCCUGAUGCAGCAACGCCGCGUGAGUGAAGACGUAUCUCGGUAUGUAAAGCUUCAUCAGCAGGGAAGUAGAUGACGGUAUCUGUAUUAGAAGCCCCGUCUAACUCCGUGCCAGCAGCCGCGGUAAUACGGAGGGGGCGAGCGUUAUCCGGAUUUACUGGGUGUAAAGGGAGUGCAGACGGGAUUGCAAGUCUGGAGUGAAAGCCUGGGGCCCAACCCCGGAACUGCUCUGGAAACUGUGCGGCUAGAGUACUGGAGGGGCAGGCGGAAUUCCUGGUGUAGCGGUGAAAUGCGUAGAUAUUACACAGAACACCGAUUGCGAAGGCAUCUCACGAAUCCGCGAUUGACGCUGAUGCACGAAAGCGUGGGUAUCAAACAGGAUUAGAUACCCUAGUAGUC
RNAcentral lists this ribosomal RNA (440 nucleotides) under uncultured bacterium. Its description in RNAcentral is "partial 16S ribosomal RNA". It matches the Rfam family "Bacterial small subunit ribosomal RNA", at positions 338 to 795 of the family's 1533-position model. The record is from RNAcentral.